RNAcentral lists this ribosomal RNA (447 nucleotides) under uncultured bacterium. RNAcentral's name for it is "partial 16S ribosomal RNA". It matches the Rfam family "Bacterial small subunit ribosomal RNA", at positions 330 to 793 of the family's 1533-position model. The record is from RNAcentral.
GCCAGACUCCUACGGGAGGCAGCAGUGGGGGAUAUUGCACAAUGGGGGGAACCCUGAUGCAGCGACGCCGCGUGGGUGAAGGAGCGUUUCGGCGCGUAAAGCCCUAUCGGCAGGGAAGAAGGAGGACGGUACCUGACUAAGAAGCCCCGGCUAACUACGUGCCAGCAGCCGCGGUAAUACGUAGGGGGCAAGCGUUAUCCGGAUUUACUGGGUGUAAAGGGGGCGCAGACGGCAGCGCAAGCCAGGAGUGAAAGCCCGGGGCCCAACCCCGGGACUGCUCUUGGAACUGCGCGGCUGGAGUGCAGGAGGGGCAGGCGGAAUUCCUAGUGUAGCGGUGAAAUGCGUAGAUAUUAGGAGGAACACCGGCGGCGAAGGCGGCCUGCUGGACCAUAACUGACGUUGAGGCUCGAAAGCGUGGGGAGCAAACAGGAUUAGAUACCCUAGUAU